CUACGAUCGUUCCUCUCGGUACUGCUUCGCCCCAACCAAAAAAUCCCCACGAUCGUUCCUACCCGCUCGCUCCGUCCCCGACUCCCCUCCCUCCCACGCCUCGCGCCUCCUUGCACCGCUCCGGCAGCCGCUCGCCAUCCGCCGUCGCCGGCGACCACCAGCAGCGCCCGUCGCGCCUCUCCGCGCGCCACUCGGAGGCCCCAGCCAGGCCGCGCAGCCGUCCUCCACAACCCGGGCCUCCUCCUCGACCUCGCCUCUCCGUGCGACAACCGGCGUCGCCGCCGGCGGCCACGGGUCCAGCGCCGCCUUCGUCCUCCACCUUCUCCUAAAGCGCGCGUUCGCCGCGGGCGCUGGAGGUGGCGCGGCGGUCCUCGCCCUCGAGCUCACUGAGGACGGCGUCCUUGCCGAGCAGCUCGACGAGAGCAGGAGGCUCGCCUCGCUGCCAAUGUCACUGAACUGAAUCGGCAGCCAUCUCAGCCACGUCUUUCAGCACGUAACCGGCGAACCUAUUCAGCAGCUCCUGGGCAAACAGCUUUGACCCCUGUUAACACGUUAUGAGGAUCCAUGGCCUCUUCUUCUAUUUCUUCAGUGUUUCUGCUGCAUCUUCCUGACACUGGUCCUCAACUAGCUUAUUUUGCUCUUCUUUCUGAAGAUCCAUGGCCUGCUUUUCCAAUUGUUGAGUGGGUACAGUAGUCUUCAUAUCAUCACCUAAUUGAUUGCAAACAAAAUUCUCAUCCGUUUCAGAUACGAUAGUCCCGCUUUUCUGACUCUUCUCUGCUUCUGAACUUGCCUUCUCUGUUUCAAGACACAUAACGCGGGACACUGCAACUACAGAAAGGCAUGGGACACGCACCGAUUUAAGUCCAUGUCAGGGGCAUCACCUGUCUCACGUUCGCAGGAGGAAGAAGCUCUGAGUUCGCCGGAGGUACACAAACAUCCGUCGAGCACUCCAAUGUCGCCUACGGCGUCUGCACCAGAGGUGCCAAAGGCGUCUCAGGUGGAGGCGAAGGAGGUUCUUCUAAUUCCUAAGGCACCAGACUGGACAUUCCUAUGUUGACUACCAUUUAUGGUCAAUAAAGUUGUCCGUGUUUGUUUUUGAUUGCUCAACUAAAUAUCUGAAGCCAAAUGAUGUAUGCAUUCAUGUUUCUCCUCUAAGGCAGAAAGACUGGACAUUCCUAUGGAUGCCCAGUACAACCGAAGAUGGGUUCCCGAUUGUUCCUAGAUAUUUCAGAGCAACUAGAGUGGUCUUACCUGACAAGCUCCAAUGUUGUGCUGAAGUAUUUUGAACAAGCUUGUCCUUUGCCUUAUGCCGGAACAAGGCACCUUCUAUUCCCCAUGGGCACCAAGAAUGCGAAGACAUUGACGAUUCGAGCAAAUGUAGGUUCAGGCUUCAAGAUUGAGCCGAGCGCCCUACCAGCAGAUCUGGAUAAUGCAUAUCAGCGAUUGGAUAUUUCUGGCCCUACAGUUAACCCUUUUGUUUUUUCCUGUAUGGUGAGGGCGAGAUAAAAGAUAUGCUUUCUGUUUGUGCUGAGCAUGGAGCUUGGGUAGUGAUAGACACCUUCUCUGGUCUGGAGUUCCACAACAGAGAUGGCUGGAUUUUGCGGAACGGGAGGAUAUUUUCACAAGCCCAAGCCGACCACAUGGCACUUUGAAAUGCACUUAUAGGAAGCUGUUGGUUCUGAAGAACAAGAGGGAUCAACAUUUCUCUAAUCUCAUCACGCCAACAAACUGACGAAGGUACCACUGUGGUAUUUAGAUGCUGGCGAAACCGACGGCGUACAUCGGCAAAUCGUUCAGGGUGGAUGAUUUUGAAGGCGAGCUCGACGGCUGCAAUAUCAGGGAAGCCCUACUGAACUACUGCAGGUUCAGCUUACCCUGUAGUAUUUUCUUUACAACAAGGCCUCACACGAGCAAAACUGUCAUCUUGUUGUUUAGUUUUGGCCCGGGACUGCAAUUUUUUCCCUUAUUGCAUCCCUUAGUGCAUAAAAUAAAAUAUAUAAUGUGCAUAAAAGCUGAAAACAACCAUUACGAUCAUAGUAGGCGAACUGAAAUUGUAGGGAUAUAAAGCAGUACCUGAACAUACAAAAGCUGGCCACAACUCUGUCUUCAAUUCCAUCUUGUUUCCAGAUUUCAGGAGUAGAUCAUCACCACCAUCACGACGAUCAGGCUCUUUGUCAGUGCAAAUAACAGACUAACACCACAAGGACUUCAUUAACCUUAGCCACUUCUUAUGGGUACAUGAGAACUAAAAAAAUUCAUCUGUUAAAAUUUGUUUUUGUGACUGUUUGGACUAAUUCAUGUGCAUAAUUUAUAUUUUCAAUUAGACUGAUUUAUUGUAGUUUUAUCAAUGAAGUAUAUUAAGAUGUGGGCAUUAUAUCGAAAGUGUUGUUCUACACCCGAGGUCAUGUGAGCUCGGGUGAACAGUAAAAUAAAUAAAAAAUGGAAAAACAAUUCAAAAAAUGUGAUUUCUUUUUGUGUGAGACACUGAAAAAAUGUUUAUUGGCUUGCAAAAUUUCAAUACUAUCUUUCUUGACAGAUUGUUUGUGGUCUGCCAUGAGCCCACGACGUACCCAUCUGCAUCUGCCUCGCCUUGAGGCCACAGCAGCACCCCUGCCCUUCUGCUCCUGCUGGCGACCGCAACCCUCUGGCGGCAGCGACGCCGCUCUCGUGUGCUGGCCUUGCUGUCUCAUCUCCUCUCGCUCUCAUGUUUGGGUCUGAUGUUAGCGUUAUGUGUGUGUGGAUGGAUAUGAUGCUACCACGGUGUGUGUACAAAUCUAUUUUUGGUUUAUUUUUCUUUGGAGUAUUGCUGUUGGAGAUGAGCUUAAGAGGCGAAAGAGUAAAGAUCUGGUAGGCUGUUUGUAUUGCUUCAGGAGAAUCUUUUAUCACUGUUUUUGGGACUGUAUUUAUGUCAAAGAGGCAUGUAGGGAGCUGGAACAAAUUUGUUACUUCUCAUGGCCACUUUUUUGAACAUGAUUACUGAGCUUGACUAUGCGGAGGUAGUAAAAAAAUAUCAGUGUGAUGGGCUUGAGAGAUAUCAUGUAAUCCCUUUUAUUGAGGAAAUUAAGGAGAUCUGUGCGAGUAAUAUUCAGGUGGAG
This 3095-nucleotide ribosomal RNA is filed under the name Triticum aestivum (bread wheat). Its description in RNAcentral is "partial small subunit ribosomal RNA". The record is from RNAcentral. Lineage: Eukaryota; Viridiplantae; Streptophyta; Magnoliopsida; Poales; Poaceae.